GGUUCCACAGUGUAGCAGUUAGUAUGUCUGCUUUACACACAGAAGGUCCUGGGUUCCUGUCCCAGUGGAGCCA
This 73-nucleotide transfer RNA is filed under the name Pteropus alecto (black flying fox). It matches the Rfam family "tRNA". Rfam says of the family: Transfer RNA (tRNA) molecules are approximately 80 nucleotides in length. Their secondary structure includes four short double-helical elements and three loops (D, anti-codon, and T loops). The record is from Rfam by way of RNAcentral. Lineage: Eukaryota; Metazoa; Chordata; Mammalia; Chiroptera; Pteropodidae.